RNA transcript from Salvia splendens (bonfire salvia), 1471 nucleotides. It is a transcript of the gene named protein ACTIVITY OF BC1 COMPLEX KINASE 8, chloroplastic-like, with no coding region annotated. Lineage: Eukaryota; Viridiplantae; Streptophyta; Magnoliopsida; Lamiales; Lamiaceae. The record is from RefSeq and is a predicted model, not a curated record. The transcript is spliced from 6 exons.
CUCUUAUGGUGUCGCAGUUCUUUAUCUAAUCGGCAACGCCGCCACCAGCGUUGUCAACCCACCUGUGGAAAUGGAGGAGGUGAGUGGUGAGAAAAAGAGUGUGGAGGAGAUUGGGCAAGAGGAGGCCUGGUUGAAGCGAGGCAGAGACGAUCAAGUUAAGAUUCAUAUGUCGAUUUGGGCUUGCGAAAGUGCAUUCACUCAGGUGGAAUGGGAACAAAAAAGGGUCUAUGUGAUUGAAACACGCCAUUUUCAGACUUGACCCUACCUUCAUCAAGAUUGGGCAGCAGUUCUCCGAUGAAUGGACAUUCUAGCUCAAGAAUACGUUGAUCAGCUAUCAGAGCUUCAAGAUGAAGUUCCUUCAUUUCCUUCAGAAACUGCAGUAGCAAUAAUCGAGGAAGAACUUGGGGCUCCCGUGAAUGAUGUAUUUGAAAGAUUCAACCCUGGGCCAAUUGCUGCUGCAAGUCUUGGAAUCGAAUGUCGUGAUGCCAAAACGUCCUGGUCAUGGACUAACAACGCGAGUACAUGUAUCGUCCUGGAAACUUGCUGUCAACGAUUUCAAUGGUGGAAGAUUGAUCUUCUAUGACUUUGGAAUGAUGGGAAGCAUAAGCCGAAACAUCAGAGAAGGCUUGCCUGAUGUAUUUUACAGAGUUUAUCAGAAACAUCGCAAAAAGGUGGUUAUCUCUAAUUUUGUAGUACAAUCUUUGUGUCUUAUUCAAUAAGUUACAUGUAUGUUUCGAUGUGUUUUAGCCUGUUCAGGAUCUUCAAGUGAUGGUCCCGAUGCGUGUUCUAGUCCCAACCGGAGAUAUGACAGCUAUGAGCCGAACACCUUAGUUCUUCCUUCAAAGUGUUUUGACACAAAAUGCAUUUUACAUACAGCAUUAUUAAGAUUCAGAGAGGACAUUGCUGACUUGACACCAUAAACAUAUACACAAAGUUGAGAACAUUUCUCAGGUUCUACUUGCUUUUUGGUGCUAUUUAAAUAUAUUUUGAUGAUAUAAUUCCUCUAUCACCGGCUUGAAACUGCCCUAACUCGAUCCACACGAGCAGCCUGUAUGUCGGGCUUGAAGUGUGGUGCAGACGACGUUAGGACUCACCUACUAACUACGCGCAUUUGUUAUGUUUUUCUAAUCCAUGUUCUUGACCCUCAAGAGUCCAUUUUUUACUCAAAAUAUUUGUUCUAGUUUGUAGAUUAUACAUACACAUGUAUUAUUACUGAAUAGUUUUGACAAUCUGUGACUAGUAAUGCAAAAGGUGUUGAGAAUCCUUUUUGGAGAUUGUUUAAUGGCUUAAUUGGGUGGAGCAUACACAACUUAGACUGAAGAGAUUGAGCUGUAAAAUGAUGGAUGUCCAUGUGCUCAAUAAUUUUAAAUUUUUAAUAUUUCUUAAAGUUGUCAAAUUUUAAUAUUUGUAUAAAUUUAUGCAUCUAUUUGGCGGAUGAGUGAACGCUACAGAAUUUUAUUUUUUAUAAUAA